GAUGAACGCUAGCUACAGGCUUAACACAUGCAAGUCGAGGGGAAACGACAUCGAAAGCUUGCUUUUGAUGGGCGUCGACCGGCGCACGGGUGAGUAACGCGUAUCCAACCUGCCCACCACUUGGGGAUAACCUUGCGAAAGUAAGACUAAUACCCAAUGAUAUCUCUAGAAGACAUCUGAAGGAGAUUAAAGAUUUAUCGGUGAUGGAUGGGGAUGCGUCUGAUUAGCUUGUUGGCGGGGUAACGGCCCACCAAGGCGACGAUCAGUAGGGGUUCUGAGAGGAAGGUCCCCCACAUUGGAACUGAGACACGGUCCAAACUCCUACGGGAGGCAGCAGUGAGGAAUAUUGGUCAAUGGGCGAGAGCCUGAACCAGCCAAGUAGCGUGCAGGAUGACGGCCCUAUGGGUUGUAAACUGCUUUUAUAAGGGAAUAAAGUGAGUCUCGUGAGACUUUUUGCAUGUACCUUAUGAAUAAGGACCGGCUAAUUCCGUGCCAACAGCCGCCGCAG
Molecule: ribosomal RNA, 508 nt
Filed under: uncultured bacterium
Lineage: Bacteria
Description: partial 16S ribosomal RNA
Rfam family: Bacterial small subunit ribosomal RNA
Source: RNAcentral